Molecule: non-coding RNA, 26 nt
Filed under: Homo sapiens (human)
Lineage: Eukaryota; Metazoa; Chordata; Mammalia; Primates; Hominidae
Source: RNAcentral
UAGUGAAACAGCUUUCUGGGUAAUUC